This 913-nucleotide ribosomal RNA is filed under the name uncultured Enterobacteriaceae bacterium. RNAcentral describes it as "partial 16S ribosomal RNA". The stretch from base 1 to 501 matches the Rfam family "Bacterial small subunit ribosomal RNA", at positions 28 to 545 of the family's 1533-position model. Lineage: Bacteria; Pseudomonadati; Pseudomonadota; Gammaproteobacteria; Enterobacterales; Enterobacteriaceae. The record is from RNAcentral.
GAUGACCCCUGACAGAAUGCUUAACACAUGCAAGUCUACUUGAAUUUGGGUUUUUUAACUUCGAUUUGGGUGGCGGACGGGUGAGUAACGCGUAAAGAACUUGCCUCACAGCUAGGGACAACAUUUGGAAACGAAUGCUAAUACCUGAUAUUAUGAUUAUAGGGCAUCCUAGAAUUAUGAAAGCUAUAUGCGCUGUGAGAGAGCUUUGCGUCCCAUUAGCUAGUUGGAGAGGUAACGGCUCACCAAGGCGAUGAUGGGUAGCCGGCCUGAGAGGGUGAACGGCCACAAGGGGACUGAGACACGGCCCUUACUCCUACGGGAGGCAGCAGUGGGGAAUAUUGGACAAUGACCGAGAGUCUGAUCCAGCAAUUCUGUGUGCACGAUGACGUUUUUCGGAAUGUAAAGUGCUUUCAGUUGGGAAGAAAAAAUGACGGUACCAACAGAAGAAGUGACGGCUAAAUACGUGCCAGAGCGCGGAAUACGUAUGUCACGAGCGUUAUCCGGAUUUAUUGGGCGUAAAGCGGUCUAGGUGGUAUGUAGUCUGAUGUGAAAAUGCAGGCUCAACUCUGUAUUGCGUGGAACGGUGUAACUAGAGUACUGGGGAGGAAGGGAAUACAAGUGUGAGUGAAUUCUAGAUAUUUGGAGGGUGCCGUGGGGAGCAAAACUUGGAAGUACGGACGCGGAGGGGGAAGAAGGAUGCAAAAAAGUAGUAACUUGGAGCAAGGCCUUUCAUUAUAAUUAAGUUGUCGGGGGGGGGGGCCGGGGGGUUUUUUUUUUUUUUUGUUAUAAAAAUAAAAAAAAAACGGGGAGGGUACAGUGGGGGGGGGGAGGGGGUGGGGUAGAGGGGGGGGGGCCGGGGGCCCGCCCCUCAAAUAAAAAACAGAGAUGGGUUUAAUAGCACGCGCGCGGGCUG